CCUACGGGAGGCAGCAGUGAGGAAUAUUGGUCAAUGGCCGAGAGGCUGAACCAGCCAAGUCGCGUGAGGGAAGACGGCCCUACGGGUUGUAAACCUCUUUUGUCGGGGAGCAAAGCGAGUCACGUGUGACUCAUUGAGAGUACCCGAAGAAAAAGCAUCGGCUAACUCCGUUCCAGCAGCCGCGGUAAUACGGAGGAUGCGAGCGUUAUCCGGAUUUAUUGGGUUUAAAGGGUGCGCAGGCGGAGGUGCAAGUCAGCGGUCAAAUUGCGGGGCUCAACCCCGUACUGCCGUUGAAACUGCAGCCCUUGAGUGCGCGAGAAGUAGGCGGAAUGCGUGGUGUAGCGGUGAAAUGCAUAGAUAUCACGCAGAACUCCGAUUGCGAAGGCAGCAUACCGGCGCGCAACUGACGCUCAUGCACGAAAGCGUGGGUAUCGAACAGGAUUAGAUACCCGUGUAGUC
RNAcentral lists this ribosomal RNA (459 nucleotides) under uncultured bacterium. Its description in RNAcentral is "partial 16S ribosomal RNA". It matches the Rfam family "Bacterial small subunit ribosomal RNA", at positions 338 to 795 of the family's 1533-position model. The record is from RNAcentral.